GCCUCUGUGCUAUCAAGUUGUUUUCAAUGAUGCGGCUUCCAAGUCGACGAUCGGCUCCGUUAGACUUGAUCUACACUAUUAAAAGUAUUUGAAAACUAAAUUUCAUAAUUUUUCGGCAUCAUUUAUCUAUCAAACGAGUAGUCUAAAAAUGAACGGCUAAAAAUAAAAAUCUCAGAAAAAAUGAUGAUAAAAAACUUUAAUUUAAGAUCAGAGGUAAUGAUCUUACUCUAAAUAUUGAAAAGAAUUUUCUAUAAAAAUUGCAUCAGAUUUGGAUUGUUUUAUACCGUAAAAUUUACAAACGCAUCACUUCUAUCAUUAAAAUUAUCAAUUUUGAGACAUUUUGAUCACUAGCCAAAUGAUGUCGAAAAAUUAUGAAAUUUAGUUUUCAAAUAUUUUCAAUAGUUUAGAUCAAGUCUAACGGAACCGAUCAUCGAUUUGGAAGCCGCAUCAUUAAAAACUUAGUAGCACGGAGGCCUUCGUGCUAACGUAGUAUACCAGCCUAUAUAUAUAUAGGCUGGGGCUACUAUACUCAUAUGAGUAUAGAGCCCUUUGUACUCAUAAGUCUUCGACCGUUCAGAUGAAAAAUAUGCGGUUAGGAUGAAAGUGGUUACGGUUAGGUUGAUAGUGGGCCCCCUAGGGUUGAGUGGGUGGUUGGUUGAAUAGUAUAAUCUAACGGGUGAAAAUGAUUAAAAGGUAUAUCUAACGGCUAAAAACUUAUGAGUACAAUAGGCUCUAUACUUAUAAAAGUAUAGUAGCCGGACUCUAUAUAUAUAUAUAUAUAUAUAUAUAUAUAUAGAGUUAAGCUAGUAUACUAUCGGUAGCACGAAGGCCUCUGUGCUAUCAAGUUGUUUUCAAUGAUGCGGCUUCCAAGUCGACGAUCGGCUCCGUUAGACUUGAUCUACACUAUUAAAAGUAUUUGAAAACUAAAUUUCAUAAUUUUUCGGCAUCAUUUAUCUAUCAAACGAGUAGUCUAAAAAUGAACGGCUAAAAAUAAAAAUCUCAGAAAAAAUGAUGAUAAAAAACUUUAAUUUAAGAUCAGAGGUAAUGAUCUUACUCUAAAUAUUGAAAAGAAUUUUCUAUAAAAAUUGCAUCAGAUUUGGAUUGUUUUAUACCGUAAAAUUUACAAACGCAUCACUUCUAUCAUUAAAAUUAUCAAUUUUGAGACAUUUUGAUCACUAGCCAAAUGAUGUCGAAAAAUUAUGAAAUUUAGUUUUCAAAUAUUUUCAAUAGUUUAGAUCAAGUCUAACGGAACCGAUCAUCGAUUUGGAAGCCGCAUCAUUAAAAACUUAGUAGCACGGAGGCCUUCGUGCUAAC
RNAcentral lists this long non-coding RNA (1314 nucleotides) under Ananas comosus (pineapple). RNAcentral describes it as "long non-coding RNA (ACOM_LNC032477)". Lineage: Eukaryota; Viridiplantae; Streptophyta; Magnoliopsida; Poales; Bromeliaceae. The record is from RNAcentral.